RNAcentral lists this ribosomal RNA (465 nucleotides) under uncultured Klebsiella sp. RNAcentral describes it as "bacterial SSU rRNA". It matches the Rfam family "Bacterial small subunit ribosomal RNA", at positions 338 to 795 of the family's 1533-position model. Lineage: Bacteria; Pseudomonadati; Pseudomonadota; Gammaproteobacteria; Enterobacterales; Enterobacteriaceae. The record is from RNAcentral.
CCUACGGGAGGCAGCAGUGGGGAAUAUUGCACAAUGGGCGCAAGCCUGAUGCAGCCAUGCCGCGUGUGUGAAGAAGGCCUUCGGGUUGUAAAGCACUUUCAGCGGGGAGGAAGGCGGUGAGGUUAAUAACCUCAUCGAUUGACGUUACCCGCAGAAGAAGCACCGGCUAACUCCGUGCCAGCAGCCGCGGCAAUACGGAGGGUGCAAGCGUUAAUCGGAAUUACUGGGCGUAAAGCGCACGCAGGCGGUCUGUCAAGUCGGAUGUGAAAUCCCCGGGCUCAACCUGGGAACUGCAUUCGAAACUGGCAGGCUAGAGUCUUGUAGAGGGGGGUAGAAUUCCAGGUGUAGCGGUGAAAUGCGUAGAGAUCUGGAGGAAUACCGGUGGCGAAGGCGGCCCCCUGGACAAAGACUGACGCUCAGGUGCGAAAGCGUGGGGAGCAAACAGGAUUAGAUACCCUGGUAGUC